This 463-nucleotide ribosomal RNA is filed under the name uncultured bacterium. RNAcentral's name for it is "SSU rRNA". It matches the Rfam family "Bacterial small subunit ribosomal RNA", at positions 26 to 521 of the family's 1533-position model. The record is from RNAcentral.
AGGAUAAACGCUGGCGGCGUGCCUAAUACAUGCAAGUCGAGCGGCAGCGCGGUCUUCGGACUGGCGGCGAGCGGCGGACGGCUGAGUAACACGUAGGAACGUACCCCAAAGUGAGGGAUAAGCACCAGAAAUGGUGUCUAAUACCGCAUGUGCUCUAAGGAGUAAAGCUUCGGCGCUUUGGGAACGGCCUACGCAUGAUUAGCUUGUUGGUGAGGUAAUGGCUCACCAAGGCGACGAUCAUUAGCUGGUCUGAGAGGAUGAUCAGCCAGACUGGGACUGAGAACGGCCCAGACUCCUACGGGAGGCAGCAGUAGGGAAUUUUCCACAAUGGGCGAAAGCCUGAUGGAGCAACGCCGCGUGCAGGAUGAAGGCCUUAGGGUUGUAAACUGCUUUUAUGUGUGACGAAUAUGACGGUAGCAUAGUAGAAUAAGGAUCGGCUAACGUCCGUGCCAGCAGCCGCGGU